AUUGUACUUAUCAUCACAUUUGCCCUUUCUAAAAAUAAUAGCUUCGGACGGGGACAGAAAGCGUUGUGAGCUUCGAUGGCAGCGGCAAUGGAAGUUUGUCGUUGCCGGUCUGUGUUAAGAAACCUGGAUUUCAGAGGUUGGGAUCCAAACCCAAACCCCCUCUAUUUGGGCAUCAGAACCCCAAAAUUCAUUGAUUUCAAACAACGGCAUGCGUCGAGCCGCUGAGCAUAUUUGCUGCUCUGCUUUUAGCGAUCCGUUUGAGGAUUUCAAUUUGGGCAACUCUUGAAUGCACAUUGGACAGAGAUGAAGCACUCGUUUUCUUUGGCGCAUUUCAUGCGCUUCUUAUCUUCCUCAAUACAAUUCUGGGUGCCAUAAUUGGUAUACACUUUCAAGCCUUGAACGUCUCGCCACUUGAAAAACAUCUGGGUAUCAUCUUGCUUUUCAUAAUGGCUACAAUGGUCUAUAUCAUUGCAUAUUUGGAGAUAAAAUUACAAUGGCAAGAUGCUGCCUACCUUUUCAUAUUCAGGCUCAUUUGUCUGGUUUCUGGAAUUCUUUCUGUUGAGCUAUUUGUCACAUUAAUCAUUUUUCCUGUUUGGUUAUUCAUGGUUAACUUAUGUCCAAUCCUGAUCAUUGGGGUACUGUGUCAUUGGUACCAAGGAAUUUAUGAGGGUCUCUAUGACACAGCUGAUAUGGUACUCAAGGCAGUACAUAUCUUGUAUAACAAGAUUUAUGGAUUACUUUAUUGGAUGGACACAUUGGAUUAAGUGUUGCAGCUGCAGAUAAUGACUAGAAGAAGAUGGUUGCUGAGAACAAAAUGCCUCAAUUAGGAUUGCUGUUAUUUGAAUUGUAUUAGGAUUGUUGUUAUCAAUAAGUAACCACGUGAUGAUACAACUUCCCUGUUAUCUUGGGAUAGGAAUAGUCGAUUGGUAGGUUGUUCUUGUAAUUUGGAAUUUCACAGAUUAUGUAUUUAAGGAUAAAGUGAAUAAUAAGGGGCAUCAGAUUAAAAUUCCAGAAA
Molecule: RNA transcript, 1015 nt
Organism: Quercus robur (English oak)
Lineage: Eukaryota; Viridiplantae; Streptophyta; Magnoliopsida; Fagales; Fagaceae
Exons: 4
Source: RefSeq, a predicted model, not a curated record